CUUCUCUGAUGUUAGCGGCGGACGGGUGAGUAACACUGGGUAACCUACCUAUAAGACUGGGAUAACUCCGGGAAACCGGGGCUAAUACCGGAUAANAUUUUGAACCGCAUGGUUCGAUAGUGAAAGACGGUUUCGGCUGUCACUUAUAGAUGGACCCGCGCCGUAUUAGCUAGUUGGUAAGGUAACGGCUUACCAAGGCGACGAUACGUAGCCGACCUGAGAGGGUGAUCGGCCACACUGGAACUGAGACACGGUCCAGACUCCUACGGGAGGCAGCAGGG
This 281-nucleotide ribosomal RNA is filed under the name uncultured Staphylococcus sp. Its description in RNAcentral is "partial 16S ribosomal RNA". It matches the Rfam family "Bacterial small subunit ribosomal RNA", at positions 81 to 354 of the family's 1533-position model. Lineage: Bacteria; Bacillati; Bacillota; Bacilli; Caryophanales; Staphylococcaceae. The record is from RNAcentral.